RNAcentral lists this ribosomal RNA (342 nucleotides) under unidentified. Its description in RNAcentral is "Xenoplatyura sp. 1 NB-2020 partial 16S ribosomal RNA". The record is from RNAcentral.
UUUUUUAAUUGAAAGCUGGAAUGAAUGGUUGAAUGAAAUAUAAACUGUUUCAUAUAAAUUUUAAUAGAAUUUUAUUUUUUAGUAAAAAAGCUAAAAUUAAAUUAAAAGACGAGAAGACCCUAUAAAGUUUUAUAUAAUUUAAAAUAUAAUUAAUAAAGUAGUAUUAAAUUUUUAUUUUAAAAUUGUAUUUUAUUGGGGUGAUAAUAAAAUUUAAUAAACUUUUAUUUAUUUUUUACAUUGAUUUAUGAAUUUAUGAUCCAAUUAUAUUGAUUAAAAAUUUAAAUUACUUUAGGGAUAACAGCGUAAUUUUUUUUAAAAGUUCAUAUUUAUAAAAAAGUUUGC